RNAcentral lists this ribosomal RNA (450 nucleotides) under uncultured bacterium. RNAcentral describes it as "bacterial SSU rRNA". It matches the Rfam family "Bacterial small subunit ribosomal RNA", at positions 354 to 796 of the family's 1533-position model. The record is from RNAcentral.
GUGGGGAAUAUUGGACAAUGGGCGAAAGCCUGAUCCAGCCAUGCCGCGUGUGUGAAGAAGGUCUUCGGAUUGUAAAGCACUUUAAGUUGGGAGGAAGGGUAGUAACCUAAUACGUUGCUACUUUGACGUUACCGACAGAAUAAGCACCGGCUAACUUCGUGCCAGCAGCCGCGGUAAUACGAAGGGUGCAAGCGUUAAUCGGAAUUACUGGGCGUAAAGCGCGCGUAGGUGGUUCAGUAAGUUGGAAGUGAAAUCCCCGGGCUCAACCUGGGAACUGCUUUCAAAACUGCUGAGCUAGAGUACGGUAGAGGGUGGUGGAAUUUCCUGUGUAGCGGUGAAAUGCGUAGAUAUAGGAAGGAACACCAGUGGCGAAGGCGACCACCUGGACUGAUACUGACACUGAGGUGCGAAAGCGUGGGGAGCAAACAGGAUUAGAUACCCGUGUAGUCC